Molecule: ribosomal RNA, 274 nt
Filed under: uncultured bacterium
Lineage: Bacteria
Description: partial 16S ribosomal RNA
Rfam family: Bacterial small subunit ribosomal RNA
Source: RNAcentral
CUACGGAGGGUGCAAGCGUUAUUCGGAAUCACUGGGCGUAAAGGACGCGUAGGCGGGUUGGCAAGUCAGAUGUGAAAUCCUACAGCUUAACUGUAGAACUGCAUUUGAAACUGCUAACCUAGAGUAUGGGAGGGGGAGAUGGAAUUAGUGGUGUAGGGGUAAAAUCCGUAGAUAUCACUAGGAAUACCGAAAGCGAAGGCGAUCUCCUGGAACAUAACUGACGCUAAGGCGAGAAAGCGUGGGGAGCAAACAGGAUUAGAAACCCUAGUAGUCC